RNAcentral lists this ribosomal RNA (460 nucleotides) under uncultured bacterium. Its description in RNAcentral is "bacterial SSU rRNA". It matches the Rfam family "Bacterial small subunit ribosomal RNA", at positions 340 to 786 of the family's 1533-position model. The record is from RNAcentral.
UACGGGAGGCAGCAGGGGGAAUAUUGGACAAUGGGCGCAAGCCUGAUCCAGCAAUGCCGCGUGUGUGAAGAAGGCCCUCGGGUUGUAAAGCACUUUUAUCAGGAGCGAAAAUCUGCAAGGUUAAUACCUUUGUAGUCUGACGGUACCUGAGGAAUAAGCACCGGCUAACUCCGUGCCAGCAGCCGCGGUAAUACGGAGGGUGCAAGCGUUAAUCGGAAUUACUGGGCGUAAAGCGUGCGUAGGCGGUUCGUUAAGUCUGCUGUGAAAGCCCCGGGCUCAACCUGGGAAUGGCAGUGGAUACUGGCGAGCUAGAGUGUGUCAGAGGAUGGUGGAAUUCCCGGUGUAGCGGUGAAAUGCGUAGAGAUCGGGAGGAGCAUCAGUGGCGAAGGGCGGCCAUCUGGGGACAACACUGACGCUGAGGCACGAAAGCGUGGGGAGGCAAACAAGGAAUUAGGAUACC